This is a non-coding RNA of Onthophagus taurus, 1054 nucleotides long. Lineage: Eukaryota; Metazoa; Arthropoda; Insecta; Coleoptera; Scarabaeidae. The record is from RefSeq and is a predicted model, not a curated record.
UUCUCUGUUACCAGUCCUACCCAGUCCUACCAGUUUCUUCUUCUCGCUUCGCUGAGAUGGUCAUGUUUAACAACUAACGUUUCAUAUUUUAUUAUUUUUGCAAUUUUUAAUUUCGACCAUCAUUUUUAAAUUAUCAUACUACGCAUCACGCUAUAACGUCUACGCCAUUUUGAAUUUUUAUAAAUUAACGCGCCUUUUUUUUUUUUGGCUGUUUAUCAUAAUUUAUCAGAUGUGUAAUAUUUCAAAUAUUCUUUCCGUUAUCUUCGCCUUUUGACAGUGAGUAUUUUAUUAUUUUACCGGUUUCAGGCUGUAAGAAGGUCCUUAACAUUCACAAAAGUUGGUUUGUAAUGUACCUUAUAACUGUAUUAGAAAUGUAAAAAUGACAUAUCGGUAUUGUAAAAAUGACAUAUUGGUAAUGUUAUAUUUUUACAAUACAGGAAAAGAAGCUACAUAUUUAAUAAACCUUAAUUAUGAAAAUUUUAAGUAACAAUGGAACAGAAACCUAAUGCUAUUUUUAAUAAUAGUAAUUAUUUAUGUUCACCAUGCAAUUAAAACAACCCGAAAGGAGUGAUGCAUUAGUUAGUUUAGGUAAAUUAACGUCACUCAUUUUACAAAUUAAUGAAUUUAAAAAAAAUAAAAUAUUUGUUGACAAAUAAACAUCUUUGUGACUGCCUAGCAACUAACUUGUAUAACGACUUUGACAUUUACGGAAAAAGUUGCAAAUGAAUUUUUGAUUUACUAUUGUUCACAUUAAAGUCAUCAAAAUGCGAAGGUGGUCGCCUGAAACCGAUAAACUAUUGAACAAACCUCGAUGUUAUGACACAUUACAGCCUUAGAUGUCUUAAAAUCCUCGCUCUUCGAGCUCGGAUUUCAAUCUGACAUCUGCGGCUGUAAUAAAUGUCAUAACAUUUCUCGGUAUGUUAAUAGCUAUAAUAUUCAUAGUAUAAUUUUGUAAUAGUUGUCGAUUAUCUGUUUAGCUUUCGGCUGAUAAUGAAGUUUUUACUUUGAAGCCGGUACCGAUUGAUAUUAAAAUUAUUUGCAAGUUCAAAGUUCA